CAUUAUUGCAGUAUGUUUUACAAGAAAAUACUAUUUCAGUCUUUCUACUUCAAAAUUUCACUUACUUGCUGAUUGUUGAAAUUAUUUGUGAAAUUCACUAUCAAUUUCUAAGUGAAUUUUUUUUUUAAGGAAAUCCUACACCAACAUUUCUUUUUCAUUAUGGAAUUUCCUUCACCAGAAAGCAGAAAACACAAGGCUUUAAUGCCUUAAAGUGCUGUCUAGGAAGGUGGCUCACUAGGUUUUGGAAACUGCAUUCGGGGAGGUUAGAGAAAGGGCUGGUUACUCACUGUGGGCUGGUCGAAUGCUCUACUUUCCAUUAAUGGUAACUGGAGCUAAUCCGUGCAUGAAGGGUCAGGCUGUUCAACAGACCACAACACAGAUCCGACUGUAAUCUCUCUCCUGCAUGCAAGGCUCAGAUUUACUGCAACACAGAAUCACAUUCAUCACUGAAAGGACAAUACAUUUCACUCUCAGCUUUCCAUCGCCUUCACUGUGAAAUUAAUAGAUGUAACCUUCGCAACCUUCUGUUAAAUAUAAAGUGUUUGCGGUCUCAGAGUCGCUGCUGAUAUUACUAUUUUUAGAGCGUUGAGAAGUGAUAAAAUUCUCUGAAAUCCAUCCGAGCGAAUAACCUCUGGAUGUCAGCCACUGACAUCUGAGCAGGGAAAUAAUAAGCAGCAGCUGUUGUUAUUGUUUUGUUCACGACAUGAAAUUCCAGAGAUCCCAGAAAACAUGAAGGUCAAAGGUCAAAGGUCAGCGCAGCUACAAUAACUGACCUCUCUGCAGUGUCCCACAGCUGAAGACGGUCAGCUCUUGUUUAAAGUCCUAAAACUGCAUAUCCAUCCUCAAUAAUGAGAGAGAAUAAAUCAUAUUACAUUCACAAAAAUGCCUGAAAGAUCCACUGUUUUUAUGCUUUCUCGUGUUAUAUUGCCCACGUAAAAGUGAAACAAGAAUACAAUUUAAAGGAAUAGUUCACCCAAAAAUGAAAAUAUGCUGAAAAACUAAAAUACAUAGAGUCCAUAAUCCAUAAUAACACUUCCUCCAGUGAAAAAGUGCAUCUCCUGUUGUCUCUCACAUCAAAAUCCAGACACAUAUUUGUUUAGAGCUGUUUAAACGCUGCUUGAUCUGUGCAGAUUUCUCUCCUGAUUCACACCAGAACACUUUUUCACUGGAGGAAGUGUUAUUAUGGAUUAUAGACUCAUAUUUUAAAUUAAAAACAUCUUAAUGCUGGAUUUGUUUCAUCUUUUGUCUUCUCCAGAUGUUAACUGCUGGACUGGAGUGCUGUGG
Cyprinus carpio carpio is the source of this 1284-nucleotide long non-coding RNA. NCBI's taxonomy places the organism in Eukaryota, Metazoa, Chordata, Actinopteri, Cypriniformes, Cyprinidae. The record is from Ensembl.